CCUACGGGUGGCAGCAGUGAGGAAUAUUGGUCAAUGGGCGCAAGCCUGAACCAGCCAAGUCGCGUGAGGGAAGACGGCCCUACGGGUUGUAAACCUCUUUUGCCGGGGAGCAAGCCUGAGCACGUGUGCCCAGGCGGAGAGUACCCGUAGAAAACGCAUCGGCUAACUCCGUGCCAGCAGCCGCGGUAAUCCGGAGGAUGCGAGCUUUAUCCGGUUUUAUUGGGUUUAAAGGGUGCGCAGGCGGGCUGUAAAGCCGGCGGUAAAAAUUCAGGGCCCAACCCUGUCGAGCCGUCGGAACUGGCAGCAUUGAGUGGGCGAGAAGUAUGCGGAAGGCGUGGUGUAGCGGUGAAAUGCAUAGAUAUCACGCAGAACGCCGAUUGCGAAGGCAGCAUACCGGCGCCCGACUGACGCUGAGGCACGAAAGCGUGGGGAUCGAACAGGAUUAGAUACCCGUGUAGUC
Molecule: ribosomal RNA, 460 nt
Filed under: uncultured bacterium
Lineage: Bacteria
Description: partial 16S ribosomal RNA
Rfam family: Bacterial small subunit ribosomal RNA
Source: RNAcentral